Molecule: ribosomal RNA, 301 nt
Filed under: uncultured bacterium
Lineage: Bacteria
Description: partial 16S ribosomal RNA
Rfam family: Bacterial small subunit ribosomal RNA
Source: RNAcentral
CAGUAGCCGCGGGAAUGCGUAGGUGGCAAGCGUUGUCCGGAAUCAUUGGGCGUAAAGGGCUCGCAGGCGGUUUCUUAAGUCUGAUGUGAAAGCCCCCGGCUCAACCGGGGAGGGUCAUUGGAAACUGGGAAACUUGAGUGCAGAAGAGGAGAGUGGAAUUCCACGUGUAGCGGUGAAAUGCGUAGAGAUGUGGAGGAACACCAGUGGCGAAGGCGACUCUCUGGUCUGUAACUGACGCUGAGGAGCGAAAGCGUGGGGAGCGAACAGGAUUAGAUACCCCGGUAGUCCCUGUCUCUUAUAU